This 459-nucleotide ribosomal RNA is filed under the name uncultured bacterium. Its description in RNAcentral is "partial 16S ribosomal RNA". It matches the Rfam family "Bacterial small subunit ribosomal RNA", at positions 338 to 795 of the family's 1533-position model. The record is from RNAcentral.
CCUACGGGCGACAGCAGUGAGGAAUAUUGGUCAAUGGCCGUAAGGCUGAACCAGCCAAGUCGCGUGCAGGAAGACGGCUCUAUGGGUUGUAAACUGCUUUUAUACGGGAAUAAAGGUAUCUACGUGUAGAGCUUUGCAUGUACCCUAUGAAUAAGGAUCGGCUAACUCCGUGCCAGCAGCCGCGGUAAUACGGAGGAUGCGGGCGUUAUCCGGAUUUAUUGGGUUUAAAGGGUGCGUAGGCGGUUUUUCAAGUCGGCGGUGAAAGUUUGGGGUUAAACCGGGAAAUUGCCGUAGAAACUGCGGGCUUGAGUGUGUUUGAGGUAGGCGGAAUGCGUGGUGUAGCGGUGAAAUGCUUAGAUAUCACGAAGAACUCCGAUUGCGAAGGCAGCUUACUGAACCAGAACUGACGCUGAAGCACGAAAGCGUGGGGAUCGAACAGGAUUAGAUACCCGUGUAGUC